Molecule: non-coding RNA, 21 nt
Organism: Caenorhabditis elegans
Lineage: Eukaryota; Metazoa; Nematoda; Chromadorea; Rhabditida; Rhabditidae
Source: Ensembl
UUCAACGUACAUAACUUCCUU